AGGUGAAGAGGCUUCGUGCAUCUUAUCUUCAUGUGUCCCGAGCUUUAGAUGAUUGUUUCUAGGGAUCCAUAAGACGAUUAUUUUCCUUUUCUCUUGUAUAUGAUUGACGAUGCUGCACUUCUUUUCCCUGAUAUUAUUUGAUGAAGAGAUAUUUCCAUAUGUGAUAAAAUGCUUAAUAUUUCCAGAAUUUGCAAAUAAAACUCUAAAGUUCCUUUGAAAUAAAAAACAAAUCAUAUGCACAAACAUUGCAUGCAU
RNAcentral lists this long non-coding RNA (255 nucleotides) under Lathyrus oleraceus (garden pea). RNAcentral describes it as "Pisum sativum (pea) long non-coding RNA (PSAT_LNC008807)". The record is from RNAcentral. Lineage: Eukaryota; Viridiplantae; Streptophyta; Magnoliopsida; Fabales; Fabaceae.